Molecule: non-coding RNA, 3199 nt
Organism: Zootoca vivipara (common lizard)
Lineage: Eukaryota; Metazoa; Chordata; Lepidosauria; Squamata; Lacertidae
Source: RefSeq, a predicted model, not a curated record
GACAACCCAGUGGGUGUGUGAUUUACGGAUCAGGAACCUGUGUUAGUGAUGUUUAUGAAGCCGAGGCUUUUCACAGAUUUUACGAAGAAAGGAUGACAAGGAAGAGAAGUGUGUUGGAUUUAACUGUGCGCUGCUAAUGGACCCUUAAAUUCAACACACAGAAAGGACUUUCACCAAAAUCAUUUUCGGUGAUGUACAAUGGAUCUAGUUACAGGAAUGCUGUGAAAUGAAUUUUUCAGACCAUACAAUGAACACACGAAGGGGAGUUAGGGGCAGAACCAGCCACCACAAGGCCAUGCUCCCUCCUCCACGCAUCUGACAAGCCGUUGUCCUGACCAAACCACCAGCCUGUGCCCUGAGGACACCUACUCAAGUUCCUCCGGACAUUGUGAGAAUUUGAAGGUAGGCAAGAGAGACUUGAGGAAAAUAUGAAAUCCAUAGCAUAAACACAAUUCUCACAAAGGACCAAACCCAUCAUAACAAAUCAUUCAACGGUGAUGCUUAGUAGCAGCAGCUGAAUAGAAUCAGUUUGUCUAAUUGGGUCUAAUAAUUUCCUGUGGAGGAAGAAGCAUCUUAUAACCCACUGCCUUAAACAGGGCUGGCAAACCUUGUCCAGCCUGAGGGCCACAUUUUCUUCUUGGUAACUUUCUGAGGGCCAAAUGCCAAUGGGGGUGGGGCCAGGGCAAAAAGUGGGCGGAGCAGCAAAUGUGAAUAUUACCAUUUUAAAACAGGCACAUUUCUAUGAAAAUUCUCACAUGCCUUGCUAUCCUCUAUCGAGGCAAGCAAAAGUUCUUUGACAACACAUCCCAACCAGGCAAAAACAGUCUGGCUGAGGCCAGACUGAGGUGGAUGGGGCAGCACCCCAUGAGCCCAGUGGACCCACAUCCAUUGGCCUUCCUAAUGAGAAGCAGGUCUAGGUAAUAACCUGGAUGGGACACAGCCUGGAAACUUCCUGUAUUUAUUCUGCCUUAUAUUCCAUCAUGGAAGAAAGGCAGCAUUAAGUGGAAUCAAUACUAACAUGUUCCUCUUGCAAGUUUUUUUUAAUCUCUUCAUCAGUGUGGGAUAUUUUCCCGUGGAUGAGAAAAGGGCUGGGAAACCAACAUAAGACCUUCAUAUUUCCAGGAGCUCAGGAAAGACAUUGAAGAUGGGAAGACCUCAUGACGAAGGCCUACGUUGGAAACCUCUGGGAUCCCAAGAAAACAUUAACAAUUGCAUCCCAAAGAAUAUUCCCAUUGGCGUGAAAUGCAGUGAAAGAGGAGCUGUGUGGGAUGAUGAGGCUGUGGUAUUUAACCAAAGUGUCUCAAACACAAGCCAAUACUCCCUCUCCUGAACAGAUGUCAUUGCCCUGCCUUGGAAAUAAUUGCUACGCAGCUGAACCUUUUAUUUGUAUAUUUUUUGGCAGGGAACAAGGAUCUGCUGGUGGACAGUGAGCUGGUGCUUAGGAGAAGCUUCCUCUUGCCUUUCCAUGUGACUUCAAAACUUUCAAAACCUCCAGAUGUGACAACAGUUCAAGUUCCGAGUUCAAGAGGGAGAGACAGGGCACUGGCUGGGACCAAUGGGAUUUGGAUCCAAACAACAUUUGGAAGGUCGGGUGAUGGAAACGUUCCUUUCCAUUGGGGAAUAUUCAAAAUGUCUGGAUAAUUAUAAGUUCAGAUAAAUAGGAGUGGUGAUGAUGACAUGAAGUUCUAUGGAUGUGAAGGUCAAACUGAAAUGAUGAGAUCAGAUUCAUUAGGCAAUACAGAUCAGCAAGGUUGAGUUGAGAGUUUAUGUUUACCAUGUUCAGUGGAGGCAGGACUGAUGGAGAACUUCACCCAAGAAGAGCCCAAAUAGAUCAUCCCAAAGGACCAUCUGGUCCAGCAUCCUAUUCUCACAGUGGCCAACCAGAUCAUUGAGAAGCCUGCAUGCAGGACAUGAAUGCAACAGCACUCUCACCCCAUGAGCAUGGGCAUUGCCAUUGGAGAAGGUACAUAUCUUACCUGCCAUGAACUUUUCUAAUUCCUUCUUAAAGAAAUCCAAGUUGGCUGCCCUUGCUACUUGCUGCAGUAGCAAAUUCCAGUUCAGCUAUGUACUCUGUGAAGAAGUGAUUCCUAACCAGUCACUUCUGUGCAGCGCUGAUCUCUCUAUCCAUUCCAGACAGUAGGAAAGCAGGUGUGGGGUUUUGUGUCUGUAGGUGUGCCUGCAAUACGUUCCUGGGUGUUGUUGUUGUUGUUUUCAAGUUGGCGAUUUGCGCUUGUGUGUUUCUGCACUGCCAGUUCUCAGCAGGGUAGAACCCAGCGCUUUAACCGUGUGCCAACUCCACUCACCCCGUUGUGCCAAGAUCCCAUAGUAGGGCUGUUCAGCUUUGAGUUCUGGUGUUGCAAUUCAGAGUGGAAAAUGAAAUCCUGAGAUGAGGAAGAAUUAGCAAGGGACAAAUGGAGGCACCCAAGAACUUGUGAGUGGCCUUGUAAGUUGCAACAAGAGGCUGUUUUAGAGGACAGAGAUCCUUUGACUGCUGCACUGUGGGCCAUGCAAGUCCAUCUCAUUCCCUUGGCUGUUGUGUCUUGCUGCUGCUGCCGCCACCACUGCACAUUGCUGCUGGUAACUCCACUUUCAGAGAUGGAGGCGGCUGAGCAGGGAUUAGGAGAACAAGAGUAGCCUUUUACUCCUAGCUUUGCCCUUGGGGACAGGGGGUGUUCUGUGGUUUCUCUGCUCUGCAGUACUUAGCAGUUCCCCUCAAGUCAAAUGCCUUCCUGAGAGACAACGUGGCAACUGUUCACAUGGCAGCAGCAAUCUGUCAGGGUUAGAAAGGGUAUCCCAAGAGCGAAGCGGGAUAGCUCUCUGCCACAUCUUGGAUGCAGUGAUAUUCUUCAUCUGUAGCAGCCUUCCUCUUCCCUACUCUUCAGCAGUCUGACUCAGCAAGCACUUCAGUUAAAAGACAGUCAGCUAUAACCUCCCCCCCAACUACAUUUUUACAAUUCUGUUGUAAAGUGAACCCCUUGCAGACUACGUUUUCACUGGAGACUCUGACAGGAUGCAUUUUAAACACCCUGGCUGAAGUAAAACAGAAUCUUAAGUAUUGAAUUGGACCAAGCAAUGCUUUUUGUGCCCCAUAAUACAGUUGUGAGGUUUGGGCGGGGGGGGGGGGGUCAGCCUGCAUGAUGCCAGAAUCCCUUGUGAUGCUGGAAUCCUAAGUCCAGCAAGGGCUAAAAUCUAAUGUAGG